This 92-nucleotide non-coding RNA is filed under the name Desulfosporosinus sp. RNAcentral describes it as "c-di-GMP sequence". It matches the Rfam family "c-di-GMP-I riboswitch aptamer". Rfam says of the family: GEMM was predicted in a large-scale screen for bacterial structured RNA regulatory elements. Lineage: Bacteria; Bacillati; Bacillota; Clostridia; Eubacteriales; Desulfitobacteriaceae. The record is from RNAcentral. RNAcentral also lists the same sequence under 1 other name.
AAAGUCAUAUGGCAAAUCUAUCGAAAGGUAGAGACGCAAAGCCACGGGUCUAAAACAGUACUUGAUGCUGCCACGACAGCCGGGUUGCAGAA